UACGUAGGGGGCAAGCGUUGUCCGGAAUUAUUGGGCGUAAAGCGCGCGCAGGCGGCCGAGUAAGUCUCGUGUUUAAACCCAGGGCUCAACCUUGGGUCGCAUGGGAAACUGCAUGGCUUGAGUGCAGGAGAGGAAAGCGGAAUUCCACGUGUAGCGGUGAAAUGCGUAGAGAUGUGGAGGAACACCAGUGGCGAAGGCGGCUUUCUGGCCUGUAACUGACGCUGAGGCGCGAAAGCGUGGGGAGCAAACAGG
This 252-nucleotide unclassified non-coding RNA is filed under the name uncultured Paenibacillaceae bacterium. RNAcentral describes it as "contains 16S-23S intergenic spacer region". It matches the Rfam family "Bacterial small subunit ribosomal RNA", at positions 524 to 776 of the family's 1533-position model. The record is from RNAcentral. Lineage: Bacteria; Bacillati; Bacillota; Bacilli; Caryophanales; Paenibacillaceae.